UGAUUUCUACCCUUUAUGCAGAAAGUAAACCCCCACCUUUUCACUAGAUUCCCCAAGUUUAUACAAGUUAUUAUAGAACAAUGAAAAUGAAAAAGAGUAAAAACAUACACCAGAAACUAAUAGCUAGAUCCAAGCAUCCUAUUUCCGACUUAGUGUCUAAUAACAUGCCCUUGAACCACUUCCGGGAUCCAGAUUUUCAAAGCCUUUUCUUUAUUUUGGGUGUUUCAAAGUUCUAAGGAAUUUCAGGAAUUCCUGGCAUUGCUUACACCCAAGAUACCAAUUAGAACAGAAACAGUGCAGUGUGAAAAGGUCAGCUCUCAUGCAUCCAAGUUCAGAAAGAGAUCAAGGGUCCCAAGGCAUGACUUGCAAGAGAGGGGAAGAAGUUAAUUGCUAAGAAUGAGUGUAAGUGUGAAAGUGGUUGGAGAAACCAUGAUAGAUUGAUAGUCAUACCCAGCCAUAAAGCAGGCUGACACACCCCUGACUAACCUAUUUGGUCAAACAAAAUAAAAGCAAACCUAUUGAAGGUCAGACUAUGGUCUGGACAAUGAUUAGGACACUGCUAGACCAAGGUCCUAGACUCAAAGCACACAUAUGGCAAAAAAGAAGUGGGAUUUGAUAGAGUUUAGGACUCAAAGAGUGGUCUAUAUGCAUGAUCAACAUCAUCAAAUGCUGUCAUGCUUUCUGAACCAGAGCUUACAUAUUAAGGGGGUUUAAUGAAGGGAGUUCAGGCAAGAGCAAAUUUGCGGAGAAAGCAGUAGAGUAAACAUUAAAAAAAAAUUGAAACAUAAUCAUAAAAAUACUAAAAGUGUAAACACAUAAGGAAGGGAGGUUACAUUAAACUAAAGAGACAUACCAGUUGCAAGAAGGUAAACAAAGAAAAGCAGAACACUUGCAGCAACAGGCAAACAGAGAAAACUAAAUCAGGACUUCAGCUGAACAAGCCUGAAUGCUUUCGAGAGAAACUUAGAAGUAUUUGAGAAAGAGAAAGAGAGAAAUAGUAUGUUCCUUAGAACUUGUCUGUGUGUUUGAAAGAGGAGAGGGGGAGAGGUAUUUAUAGCUUUUUAAAAUGAGUAAAUAGUAAGGCAAGCAGUAUAAUUUUAACACAAAUAAGGAAAUAUUCACAAGUUAGAAUCAAUUAACCCUAGUGACUUCCCUUUAAUUAAGAAAUCAGGAUGUUAACAUGUUUAAUUAAAGAAAGAAAAUCAAUUUGGAGGCAGACUAGGUAAUACCAUAAAAAGGCAGUAAAAGCAUAAAGUAGACAAUUGAGUCUAAAUACAAAAACAAACUUAUUUAAGGAGAGGAUUCAACAAGGUAAAACAUCACAGUAAAGGAAAAGGAAUUAGUUAAUCUUUUCAAACAUGCGAGUUAAAUUAGGUCUAGUAAGAAAACUUUGAAAUCAGUCAUAAAAUCAAAGCAAUCAAGAUCAAUCAGGGAAGGAGCAUGAUUCUGCACUUCAUAUAAAUAGCAAGGGGUGAAUAAACAUGUUGAGUUAAACACACAAACAUGCAGUAGCCGUAGAGGCAAGCUAGUGUUCAGUAGCAAGAAAGUACUCGAAGCAUAGUAGUCAAGCAGGUCAAGUAAUCACCUGACAUCGACAGUGAAGAAGAACAUAGUAAUAGGUAGGAAAAAUCAAAAACAAGUAGAGGCCUCAGCGUAGUGUGAAACUUCUAAGAAUUUUAGGGCUUUUACAAUAGUCGAGUUUUAAAGAUGGUAAGGACUUAGAAUUAACCGAUCAAACAAGAAAAAGUGACAAACACAAACAGUUUCAGAACUUAGAUAAAUUAGGGUUUUACACACGCUAAAACAAAUAGAAGAAUAAUAUGAGCAAACCAUAACCAAAUCACAAUGAUAUAAGAAAAAUAUGAGAUCUUUAAAAAUAUUUAAAGGAAAUCCCUAAUGAAGGUCGUUUUUGCAAGAAAAGAAGAGGAACUUUCAUGAAAACACUUAAAAUAUUUAUGAAAAGCACAGAUAUAAAGUAGAUCUGAAAGAAAAACCAAAAAAUAUCAGAGGUUACAGUUUUGAAGAACCCAGAAGGUGAGAAAGGCGUUGAAAAUUAACGAUUUAACCAGAAGAGUCGUGUAUCUGACACGAACAGCCAAGGCUGGCCGGAGAAUAGUCAGGGACAACCAGAGAGGAGCCAUGAAUAGACGUCAAGCCAAGCCUGGACAAGCUUCCCUUGAGAACUGGUCGUGAAACCACAUAGAUGAACACCCAGGAGCCCACAUGGGCCGUUAAUUAUCAUCCAACGGCCAGAGGAGGUCAUAGAUUAUGGUUUCAGGUGAGGCGGCGACUAGGGUUUGAUGGGUGAGUUGAGAGAGAAUUGAGAGAAGAAAGGAA
RNAcentral lists this long non-coding RNA (2337 nucleotides) under Nicotiana benthamiana. RNAcentral's name for it is "long non-coding RNA (NBEN_LNC003587)". Lineage: Eukaryota; Viridiplantae; Streptophyta; Magnoliopsida; Solanales; Solanaceae. The record is from RNAcentral.